Molecule: long non-coding RNA, 5808 nt
Organism: Pseudophryne corroboree (corroboree frog)
Lineage: Eukaryota; Metazoa; Chordata; Amphibia; Anura; Myobatrachidae
Exons: 3
Source: RefSeq, a predicted model, not a curated record
CCCCCUCUAUACGAUCAGUCACUGCAUUGUCACAGGAUGGGAGGGGGAGAGGAGGCUUUCGGCGGGGAGCGCCGGCCUGGUGUCACACGCAGCAUGACACAGUGCAGAGGAGAGUGAAUUGUUGCUUCUCCUCCCUCUCGGGUCGGACUAAACUUGGCAGCAGCUACUGGGGGACAGGCAGGUCACUCCUUCCUAAACCUCUAAUUUGGCUUGGAUGUCCCACUGGCCACCACCAUCAAAAACACACUGGAACAGAGCUGCUGAGACUUCCUCCACCUCACGUUCCGUCAAUGGGUAGCACUGAAUUCCAGCCAGUUGAUGGGAGAUCCUCUGAAUGAAUUUCAUUACUUUUGGCCGGCACACGUGGCCCAAACCCAAAAAUAUUCUGUUCUCAUUUUAUAACAAAUCUGAAUUUUGUGUCAGCUAUUGGGAAUUAAUCCAGCCCUUCUGUCUAAUUUCAACUUGCACUGUAGCGUUUUAACCAAGUCUCCAUGUCUUGUCCACCAAAGUUGUUCCAAUACCGGUGAACUAGCCAAGAGAAGUCAAUGACUUGCAUAUAUUCCGAUUACAAUGAAUAUACUGUAUUGGUGAUGAGAUACAUGGAACACAGAGAUGGAACAAGGAUGCUUCUCAAAGAAGAUAGUUAUAGUCUUUAUUUAUUUGACUUUGACAUCUAUUGGUGUAAUUUUUUUGUGUGCAAUAUUAUACUCUUUCCAGGAUAAUGAUUCAGCAACAUGAAAUGUAAUUUCAUGGGGAGUAAAGCCAGGACCAAACUUUCUGCAUUGGUUAAUGAGCAUAUGGGUUAAUGUAAAAGUCCAUAAUAUUAUCAAGCAUUGACUAAGUAAAUACUGGCAUAGUAAAAACACAGAAGACAGGGUCUGGAGAAUUAAUGCUGCCUGUCUCCUAGGAGCACCUAAAUUAUACAUGGGGCCAUUUUUUUUCUCUCUAUGAGAGCAGAAGCCAAAGAGUGAGGAGUGAAUAAUGGUUGUGAAUAUGUGUAAUAUACAGUAUGUAGUAUACAACAUAUAUAUGUACUGUAGCAUUUUCAGAUGUAAAAUGAUGAAAACCCUAACACACAGACAUUUAGGGGUAGAUUUACUAAUGCUUCUAAAAAGGAAAAAUAAUGGUGUGGCCCAUAUCAUUUCUAUACUGCAUCCUAAAACCUGAUAGACAGAAUCUGAUUGGUUGAUAGGGCAACAUUACCACUUGUUAUUUUAAGAAGCUUUAAUAAAUCUAGCCCCAAAUCUCAGCUGUGUUGAAUUGUGAUGGUGUAUCUAGAUUCAGCAAAGCACAGUAGUCGGUAGAACAAGAUGGAGGCAUUUGCAGGGAAAUGGAAGUUUUCACCAGCUAAUGAGAGGAUUUUGGGGCAGAGGCGUAACUCCCAGAGGCAAUGGAGACACCUGCCUCCGGGCUCCAAGCCCUGAAGGGGCACCUGCAUGUACAGCAGCACCUGUGUGGUUUACAGUAAGAUCAAAGUGUGACUGCUGCUCUUCAGUCACGCCAAUACCUCCAAUAGGGGACAGGAUGUUUAGGGUGUGCUUAAGAAUACUGAAUGGAUGAUUUUAAUACUCCAGCAGUGCCCCCACUGGAAGCAAUGGCCACAGCCAUGAAUGGGAAGCAGAUAGCAACUUAUGUACAUAUAAACUGCUGGUUCCUACGCCUCCCUGUGAUUCUUAUGCCGGGAGUGUGGCACUCAGCUAUGAUUUCACAGCCAAGUGCCACACACUCAAUCUGAAUGACCAAGGAUGUAGCCGCCACCUCUUGCCCGUCAGUGUAAGAAUCCGUGGGUGUGGGGUGUUGCGUCAUAUUGAGGAAAGAAGGGAUUACCUCAGUGGGGUUUCACUAACUCUGCUGAAACCCCCUCUUUCUCGUGAUAAAGCCAUAAAUUAGGCUAUAUUGAGAUUUUUUUGGGGUUUUUUUUAGAACAAUUUGUCAGUUUGUAGGAGGUUACACACCCAUACACCUCUACAUAGCCAGUCUCUCCAGAGGUUCCCACCUCAUCAUGCACAUGGGAGCAUUUCUAGUUUGCAGAGCAUCACCUAAGACUUAAGAAUAUGUGUGCACCUGGAAGCAUGCUGUGCGGUCCACCUGGGUGCUGCAGUGCAAAACCAGUGAAGCAACCAGGUGCAGUUCAUGCCUGAACUUCCCACUGUUUAUCAGCUCAGGCACAAGUGCACUGAAAAAUGGCAUCUACUAUAAUGUCAUCUUCUAUAAGUCUCUAACAAUUUUGUAUAAUGGUCUAAGCAUUUAGCAAAAAUAAAUAAAUACAUACAUACUCUGAAACCUAUAGGCAAAUGCCGUGAGAGUUUUCAGUUGCCUGGAAACCCCCUUCCCCUGGCUGAAAUUAUGACAACAAAAGCAAUAGUAUAUAUUGUAAUAUGGUUUUACUAGGGGUACAGGCGCAUUGUGUAGUUUAGGGGAUGGAACAGAGCUGCACAUUGGCAGCAGCUUUUUCUUCAAGUAUGUGUGGUAACACCAGCGGUAUGGCUUAGGUAAUCAUUUCUGUAUGUUAUCCACCCACUGGCCAAAAUCUACUGGUGGAAGCAGAUAAAAACAAUAUAUCAAUAUCUAACUAGAAAUUAUGUAUUAAUGUAGAUCUAUAAUAGUUUAACCCUUCUCUCCCGACAUAGCUAUUGGGCUGUAUUCAAUACCUGUCGGAUCCUUUCUGACGGAAAGGAUCCGACAGGUCAGUAUUCAAUGCCGGGCCAAAUCCAACAGGAUUGGCCCGAUCCCGACAAUGGCAAUCCGACUUUUUUUAAAGUCGGAUUGACAUUGUCGGAAACGGGGCUAAAACCUGUUGGGUUUGGCUGCGCUUAUGACAAUACACGCGGAUCGGCGGCUUCAGGAAUUCCCAACUUGUCGGAAAAAAACUAAACCUGUCGGAAGCUGCCGUCUUUCCGACAAGACGGCAGCGUCCGACAAUUAUUAAAUACAUCCCAUCAUCUAGCUAGGCUAUUCCUUAUAGAAGAAUGAGAGUGCUACUACGCAUACUCUACACUGGCUCCUUUAGGGAGGCCCCAAUCACUAAACUAGAUGGCCGCCGUGUGGACCUCUGCGCAUGCGAGUUGCCAUCUUGCCCUUGUGUUAGAGCGCCACAGAGGGACACGGAUAUGUUUCGCUUAGCUCCAGACAGACUCUGUUACAUCCAUUGGUAGCACUUGCAUCCUGCACUGCUAGCCACAUACAACCACCAGCUGAUAACCUGUAUGCUCUGCUCUAUACUGGGAGUCUGUGUAUGCAUAACUGUGAGUAGGGCAGUGCAAAUCCCAUUACUGCUGAAUAAAUCACCCCACUGAUUAAAUACUGGGCUGUUCACUGCAUCCGCUGGUGUGUACUCUGCCAUACCACCGCCAAUAGUAAACACAUAUUCCAACAUCCUUGACAACCAUCCAUGUGGUACAGUUGGCAUCAGCGCCCUUCUUUUGCCUAUUUUGUGGUUGCCCAUUCUGCUUAUUUACCAAAUUGCACAUACCAUACUGGAGAUUUUUUUUUCUCUUUUCUGGUGUUCAUGUAACCCGUAACUGAAGGUAGACACAGAAUCACACAGAUGGUGUAUAGAUGGAAAGAACAGUCUGCUCUAUGUGUGAACAGUGCAAGGAAAUGAGGCAGGAGAUGGGUCGCGGUGGAAGAUGAGUAACAGGCCAGCGGAUCAUUCCAGCCGUAGUGUUUGAAGAGAUUAUAAGAAGGAAGUGGGAGGAUGAGAGACCAGAUAAAAGACACAUGGAGUAAUGAACAUGAGAACGUGUUAGGGGGAAACAUUAUUUUUCUUGCAACAAAUAUACAAGUUAAUAAUGUUUUGCUUGUAAAUUUUACCCCAAAAUUCAUAUUUUAUGGAUGACAUAAGUGAGAGGUUUUUAAUCAAAGUUUUAAUACAACAUAAAAAAGUAGGAGCCUCACUGCUCCAGGGAAAUGUACAAGAUUUAAGUAAAGAACUGUGGUAGAACAUUACAGUGAGGACAAUCCUAGUAAUAUCCGCAACCCCACUGUAAUAACAACACUGGAAUCCUGAUUACUAGGCUGGAGCCCAUCAGUCAGACAACAAUGGUAAGAUUAAUGCAUCUGCCACUAAUAAUGAUCCCAUGUUGCGUGGGAUUUUCGAAAUGUUUCUAAGCAGAAUGAGUCAAUUAGACAAUAAAACAAAUGUGGAGUUGACACCCUGAGGAAAUAUGGCAAAGAAAGUCAGUAACUUGUCUGCAGUGGAAUUCUCUCUGGUUGGGAUUUCGUUUGGAAAACAUUCAUAAAUGGACUUAACAAAUGUGAAAGAUUUGAAAUUCAGAUUUUUAUUACCUUUCCUAACCCGAUGUCGGAAGAAAACCAGGGAGACGCUCUUGUACAAGUUUAAAUGUUAGAAAUAAAUCUUUUGUUAAAAAAAAAAAAAAAUUACAUCUGAAAGCAAUUGAAACAAACAAGAUGAUGUUCUUGUUAUCCGCAAUCAAAGUUGAAAAUACAACCUUAGGGUGGCUGUGUUGGCUUUUGUCAAGUUACGUUUUGUUUCAGGAAUUGUGUGCGGUCGGUUCUGUGUAUCAUAUGCUAGUAGUAGUAACUACAGUAUCUGUGAGAUUGGAAGACCUAUAGAAUAUUUCAAAGACCCAGAGAGUUUUUGUGCCUUGGUCCUGACUGGAUGUGGGAGUCAAAUGAAGACUCAGGGGAUUUAAAUUAAAGACACCCUAGCUCACUGGAUGAUAAUGGGCAUGAGAGGUAGUGUUUCAUUAUUUAAAUGAUGUUGAGUAGCACCCUGCAUACCUUUUACCUUGCCAUGUUGCCAGACUCUGUGCUGCCAAUGAUAAUACCACUACUGCUCCUCUGUGUCCAUCAUACCCGACCACUGCGCUGUGUGAUCACACCUGUCACUGACAUUGAGGAGUAGCAGCCAGUAGCAUUGCAGGCAAAAGGUAAGAGACAGCAAGGGAGGUGCAGUGCCUUAAAAAGAUAUGGGGAUACCCAGAUGCAAGAUAUUCUUUUUCCCAUUGUUAGUGAUCACCUCAGCUAUAUAAUAAUGAGCUACGGCUGACCUGUCUUAUUGCGCUAGGUGCAGAGAUACCCCUCGACCAAGAGAUUAACGGAUCCAAAUAUGCUAUUAUCCAUUAAGGCACCCUUUUCUACUAGGAAUGCCUACAGCUCAUUGGCAUUUCUAAAAUGGGUGCAACACCGCACACACUGCACCCAUGUUUUGUUACAUAUCUCUCCGGAGUUCCGCGUCAGAGCUGCACCUGCGGUAAAAUAAUCACUGCCACGCAUGCGAAGCAGGGAUUUAGUCUCCGGAAUACGGUGGGCGCCAUGUUUCCAGAGACCUGCGCAUGCGCAGUAGCCUCUGGUACAAUGCCAAAGUCUAACGUGCCGUCUACACACGGAUCCCCUCCUCUUUUAAAACGCCCCUGCUAUAGCUGCCGUAUUUCCUAAGCAAUGGUAAUUAAUAAUGAUAUCACCUAGUACAACUUCUUUACACGAAACUAACUCUUUCAGGGGCGUAUGACCAACUGCAUCUAUAUGAAAUCACCGUGUGGCACUCUGUACCUUAACAGUCUUGUAUUGUGGACAGGAAAUGUUAGUAUAAUGAAUGUUGAGAUGGCGUGAUAAAAAUGUAUUACUAUAAAUUAUCAUAGGAGGAGAUAUUUGCUGCAGAAGGUCAACUACCGCACAUUUUUAGAUAUAUUCUGUAUGGACGGUUGUACUUUUUUUUUUUCUUUGUUCAUUUUUCAUUGUUGGUUCUAUUUAUGAAAACUGGUGCACAAGGAAAAGUUGUUGUAACUGACCAUUGAGGUUUUAGUAGAUAGUACGGUAGAUAGUAGUAGUAAUCACUGACCUGUA